This 253-nucleotide ribosomal RNA is filed under the name uncultured bacterium. RNAcentral's name for it is "partial 16S ribosomal RNA". It matches the Rfam family "Bacterial small subunit ribosomal RNA", at positions 524 to 776 of the family's 1533-position model. The record is from RNAcentral.
UACGUAGGGUGCAAGCGUUAAUCGGAAUUACUGGGCGUAAGGGGUGCGCAGGCGGUUUUGUAAGUCUGAUGUGAAAUCCCCGGGCUCAACCUGGGAAUUGCAUUGGAGACUGCAAGGCUGGAGUCUGGCAGAGGGGGGUAGAAUUCCACGUGUAGCAGUGAAAUGCGUAGAGAUGUGGAGGAACACCGAAGGCGAAGGCAGCCCCCUGGGUCAAGACUGACGCUCAUGCACGAAAGCGUGGGGAGCAAACAGG